CGUGACUCCGUUCGCACUAGCUAGCGCGUCCAGAUUCCCCUUCUGCCUAAAGCCUACCGUAUGUCUAAAGUCUUCAGCAGUAUUCUCCUCGCAUCGACCCCGCUCGCGCUCUCCAACCGUCCUAGGGAGCGUCGGACGUCCUCCAGCUCUGCUUAGCCACGUGCAGACGCAUUGUGUUUGAUAAAACAAGUGAUAUGAGUACGAAUAGUCAGUCACAGAAUGAGGGCGCCUAUAACUCUCCCUCGUCGGAGUUCACCGGCCCGACGUUACCGGCCCCGGGCGCGCCUGAAUCCGUGGAAGGUGAGCGGGGACAGGCGCGGGGGCGCCCUCAGCAUCGGCAGCGAGCAGGCACGCCCUCCGCACGCGGACUCAGCUGAGUAAGCCCCCCCCCUUAUGGGUGCGCCGCACCCCCGGGGCACGCUAACAGUCGUGGACGCCCUCGCGGCCUUCAACGUGCUGCUCGCCCUCCUACAAGCGUACUUCCCGUCGACGAAGGUUGUCGCGAUGAUUCUCCUCGGAGUUGCAGUGACAGGUGAAGCCACCCCAGGAGGGCAGGAUGGGCAGCACAACGUCACUGCUACUCCGAUUAGGAUCAUCGCGACAACCUUCGUCGACGGGAAGCACGCUUGAAGGAGGGCGAGCAGCACGUUGAAGGCCGCGAGGGUGUCCACGACUGUGAAAAGGGGAGGAUGCCGCUAAGCCAGCUUCUCGUGCGCUGGGCCUGAGGUGAAGCCGCAGAAUGACAGCGCCAGGUGCAGAAACCACGUGACAUCCUCUGCGCAGGUUGUGCGAAAUACGUUGGGCAUCGACUGUUCAGCUGCAUCGAAAGUGUCCCCGGUACUCACCCUUGCUGAACCAUCUCUGCUCUUCCCGCAGCGCCUGGAGCUCGGCGCGUAUUUCGGCCCUGAGUGCUGCCAGCUCCUCCUGGAACUGCUGCGGCUGCUGCGGCUGCUGCGGUACCGCGUCCAUUUCAGCAGUCGGAAUUAAGCAAAGUCUUUCGAGGAGUUAGUGCGUUUCCGGUUUGGUCAGCCGCAGACACUUGAUCCCACAAUUCCAGCGACUUUUGCGACCGGCUCUCCACCGACCGCUUGGAUGCUUGCGCCCGGUCGCUGCCCCAGCUACUUCCGCGGUGAAAUAACAACGGUGAGCACUCUCAACCACUGCGAGGACAGCCCUAGCAACCGCACUGCGUAAGAAGUACAGCAUCGAUUUGCUGCAUGUUGAUUUUGGCGCAAAUGGGGGGUGCAAGCAGUUUGUUUCUCUCAGACGCGAGCUAGCGCCCAAGCGCGCGAUAUGGGGGCGAGGAGCCACUAUGUAGCUGUAACGAUUGCAUGAGUGGCGAAUUUUACUUCGAGGGUCUAGGGUGCGAGCGGAGUGGGAUUACCCCCCGAGGGGCACGCCAUGCGCUCAGGCCCCAUGCAACAGAAAUUCGCCGGGCACCAACCCACGCACAGAUAAUUCAUAGGACUACACCAUAGCCAUCAGAGACCGGCCGGGAACAAGCCCCGCAAGCGGGGCAGCAUGGGCGCGACACCACCCUGCCGCGCCAACUCACCCCAAACACGCCCCAACCACUUGUGCGACACAAGGGCUACCAUACAGUAGCGCGCGACACCUAAUCGCGUGCGCCGGAGUGUGCGAGCAAACAUUGUACGGAGGAGCUCGUUUGGGCCCUAGGACGCAGGGCCUGGGCUGGCAUUUGGUGCAUUCAAUAGAGCAUAGAAAACCGAGGCCACAUAUGUGCUCGGGUGCGCAAAGGUCGGCGGAAUUGUGGGAUCAAGUGACGUGGAAAUGGAUCUGGGGGACUGCGGGGUUUUGGGGUGUGUUGGGUUGGUGGCGUGAAGGGUGUGAUUUGUGAGGAAUUUAUCGAUGCAUGCCAAGUUGCACGCCUUUCCCCUGUGUUUCCUACAUGCCCCUGAACCCUCCCUUUGCUGGCUGCAGGCGAAGCGACAAGUGGUACCGCUGGUACCACCCACGGGGGCCUUGUGCCCAAGCCGGGNNNNNNNNNNNNNNNNNNNNNNNNNNNNNNNNNNNNNNNNNNNNNNNNNNNNNNNNNNNNNNNNNNNNNNNNNNNNNNNNNNNNNNNNNNNNNNNNNNNNUGGUACUAUACACGUGGCGGUCAUCGACAUUGCUUUGUGCCGGCGCGCAGCACCCAGGAUGUGCGGCGAUCGCUGAAAUGCAGUUGUGGGGUCCACACUCAUAUGGCACCCACGCCCCACACAGCACUGAUGCAGGGCUCCUGCAGCCGUCACGCCAUGGGAAUCAGCAUAUGGGCAGUGGCCUGUGCAUACUUCUCUGUGGCCUGGCGGGGCAUCUGGCCAGGGCGUUUGACUAGCGGCAUGGGGCCUGCACGCCGGUAGGGGGGCGCAGGCCCAAAAUGAUGCAAGGAAGCUGAUGUGUUGCGUGAGGUGCGCAGCGGUUCCUGAUGGACGUGGGUGCUUUCAUGCGUAUGUAUAUUGGCUAUGUGUGUUGAUCUUUGCACCAGGGUGGUGUCGCCGCGCAGCGGAGCAUUGGUGUUGGUGCACGGGGCGUGAACAUUGGGGCCCGCAGUUGGGAUCGCGCCGGCACGGUCGCGGGCACCGCUGAAGAUAUGUUGGCGCGACCGGUCGCUUAUGGUGCACGCUAAUACCCGCAUACUGUGUGUAAGCACCGAUUGCAAUUAUAAGUUGCGCAUGUAGAUAUCGGUCUUCUCCCGACAUGCGCUCUGAUGACGGUUCCAUUUCCGCCAACUUAGGGUGAGAGUUAAGAGCCGGAGCCCUGUUGCCACCUGCAAAAUGCCUUAGCAACAUGUGGCAACUAUCUGCCCGAAGCAAGUUGCAAGCCAGCCCAGUUCAGGUUGCCACAUGCCAUGCUGGGUAUUCCCAGCGCGCUAGCGCACCUGCUUGGGCAGCUCGCUAUGGCUGCCGUCGACAGUUGACCCUGGUAUGCCAUCGCUAGAGUCGCAGCCCGCUCCGGCCAACCUCGCUCCUCCGCAACCGACACACGAACCCGACGUCACUUGAUCCCACAAUUCCAGCGACUUUUGCGACCGGCUCUCCACCGACCGCUUGGAUGCUUGCGCCCGGUCGCUGCCCCAGCUACUUCCGCGGUGAAAUAACAACGGUGAGCACUCUCAACCACUGCGAGGACAGCCCUAGCAACCGCACUGCGUAAGAAGUACAGCAUCGAUUUGCUGCAUGUUGAUUUUGGCGCAAAUGGGGGGUGCAAGCAGUUUGUUUCUCUCAGACGCGAGCUAGCGCCCAAGCGCGCGAUAUGGGGGCGAGGAGCCACUAUGUAGCUGUAACGAUUGCAUGAGUGGCGAAUUUUACUUCGAGGGUCUAGGGUGCGAGCGGAGUGGGAUUACCCCCCGAGGGGCACGCCAUGCGCUCAGGCCCCAUGCAACAGAAAUUCGCCGGGCACCAACCCACGCACAGAUAAUUCAUAGGACUACACCAUAGCCAUCAGAGACCGGCCGGGAACAAGCCCCGCAAGCGGGGCAGCAUGGGCGCGACACCACCCUGCCGCGCCAACUCACCCCAAACACGCCCCAACCACUUGUGCGACACAAGGGCUACCAUACAGUAGCGCGCGACACCUAAUCGCGUGCGCCGGAGUGUGCGAGCAAACAUUGUACGGAGGAGCUCGUUUGGGCCCUAGGACGCAGGGCCUGGGCUGGCAUUUGGUGCAUUCAAUAGAGCAUAGAAAACCGAGGCCACAUAUGUGCUCGGGUGCGCAAAGGUCGGCGGAAUUGUGGGAUCAAGUGACGUGGAAAUGGAUCUGGGGGACUGCGGGGUUUUGGGGUGUGUUGGGUUGGUGGCGUGAAGGGUGUGAUUUGUGAGGAAUUUAUCGAUGCAUGCCAAGUUGCACGCCUUUCCCCUGUGUUUCCUACAUGCCCCUGAACCCUCCCUUUGCUGGCUGCAGGCGAAGCGACAAGUGGUACCGCUGGUACCACCCACGGGGGCCUUGUGCCCAAGCCGUGGUGGCGCAUGGUAACUAUACACGUGGCGGUCAUCGACAUUGCUUUGUGCCGGCGCGCAGCACCCAGGAUGUGCGGCGAUCGCUGAAAUGCAGUUGUGGGGUCCACACUCAUAUGGCACCCACGCCCCACACAGCACUGAUGCAGGGCUCCUGCAGCCGUCACGCCAUGGGAAUCAGCAUAUGGGCAGUGGCCUGUGCAUACUUCUCUGUGGCCUGGCGGGGCAUCUGGCCAGGGCGUUUGACUAGCGGCAUGGGGCCUGCACGCCGGUAGGGGGGCGCAGGCCCAAAAUGAUGCAAGGAAGCUGAUGUGUUGCGUGAGGUGCGCAGCGGUUCCUGAUGGACGUGGGUGCUUUCAUGCGUAUGUAUAUUGGCUAUGUGUGUUGAUCUUUGCACCAGGGUGGUGUCGCCGCGCAGCGGAGCAUUGGUGUUGGUGCACGGGGCGUGAACAUUGGGGCCCGCAGUUGGGAUCGCGCCGGCACGGUCGCGGGCACCGCUGAAGAUAUGUUGGCGCGACCGGUCGCUUAUGGUGCACGCUAAUACCCGCAUACUGUGUGUAAGCACCGAUUGCAAUUAUAAGUUGCGCAUGUAGAUAUCGGUCUUCUCCCGACAUGCGCUCUGAUGACGGUUCCAUUUCCGCCAACUUAGGGUGAGAGUUAAGAGCCGGAGCCCUGUUGCCACCUGCAAAAUGCCUUAGCAACAUGUGGCAACUAUCUGCCCGAAGCAAGUUGCAAGCCAGCCCAGUUCAGGUUGCCACAUGCCAUGCUGGGUAUUCCCAGCGCGCUAGCGCACCUGCUUGGGCAGCUCGCUAUGGCUGCCGUCGACAGUUGACCCUGGUAUGCCAUCGCUAGAGUCGCAGCCCGCUCCGGCCAACCUCGCUCCUCCGCAACCGACACACGAACCCGACGUCUGACGUGGAAAUGGAUCUGGGGGACUGCGGGGUUUUGGGGUGUGUUGGGUUGGUGGCGUGAAGGGUGUGAUUUGUGAGGAAUUUAUCGAUGCAUGCCAAGUUGCACGCCUUUCCCCUGUGUUUCCUACAUGCCCCUGAACCCUCCCUUUGCUGGCUGCAGGCGAAGCGACAAGUGGUACCGCUGGUACCACCCACGGGGGCCUUGUGCCCAAGCCGUGGUGGCGCAUGGUAACUAUACACGUGGCGGUCAUCGACAUUGCUUUGUGCCGGCGCGCAGCACCCAGGAUGUGCGGCGAUCGCUGAAAUGCAGUUGUGGGGUCCACACUCAUAUGGCACCCACGCCCCACACAGCACUGAUGCAGGGCUCCUGCAGCCGUCACGCCAUGGGAAUCAGCAUAUGGGCAGUGGCCUGUGCAUACUUCUCUGUGGCCUGGCGGGGCAUCUGGCCAGGGCGUUUGACUAGCGGCAUGGGGCCUGCACGCCGGUAGGGGGGCGCAGGCCCAAAAUGAUGCAAGGAAGCUGAUGUGUUGCGUGAGGUGCGCAGCGGUUCCUGAUGGACGUGGGUGCUUUCAUGCGUAUGUAUAUUGGCUAUGUGUGUUGAUCUUUGCACCAGGGUGGUGUCGCCGCGCAGCGGAGCAUUGGUGUUGGUGCACGGGGCGUGAACAUUGGGGCCCGCAGUUGGGAUCGCGCCGGCACGGUCGCGGGCACCGCUGAAGAUAUGUUGGCGCGACCGGUCGCUUAUGGUGCACGCUAAUACCCGCAUACUGUGUGUAAGCACCGAUUGCAAUUAUAAGUUGCGCAUGUAGAUAUCGGUCUUCUCCCGACAUGCGCUCUGAUGACGGUUCCAUUUCCGCCAACUUAGGGUGAGAGUUAAGAGCCGGAGCCCUGUUGCCACCUGCAAAAUGCCUUAGCAACAUGUGGCAACUAUCUGCCCGAAGCAAGUUGCAAGCCAGCCCAGUUCAGGUUGCCACAUGCCAUGCUGGGUAUUCCCAGCGCGCUAGCGCACCUGCUUGGGCAGCUCGCUAUGGCUGCCGUCGACAGUUGACCCUGGUAUGCCAUCGCUAGAGUCGCAGCCCGCUCCGGCCAACCUCGCUCCUCCGCAACCGACACACGAACCCGACGUCAGACGUGGAAAUGGAUCUGGGGGACUGCGGGGUUUUGGGGUGUGUUGGGUUGGUGGCGUGAAGGGUGUGAUUUGUGAGGAAUUUAUCGAUGCAUGCCAAGUUGCACGCCUUUCCCCUGUGUUUCCUACAUGCCCCUGAACCCUCCCUUUGCUGGCUGCAGGCGAAGCGACAAGUGGUACCGCUGGUACCACCCACGGGGGCCUUGUGCCCAAGCCGUGGUGGCGCAUGGUAACUAUACACGUGGCGGUCAUCGACAUUGCUUUGUGCCGGCGCGCAGCACCCAGGAUGUGCGGCGAUCGCUGAAAUGCAGUUGUGGGGUCCACACUCAUAUGGCACCCACGCCCCACACAGCACUGAUGCAGGGCUCCUGCAGCCGUCACGCCAUGGGAAUCAGCAUAUGGGCAGUGGCCUGUGCAUACUUCUCUGUGGCCUGGCGGGGCAUCUGGCCAGGGCGUUUGACUAGCGGCAUGGGGCCUGCACGCCGGUAGGGGGGCGCAGGCCCAAAAUGAUGCAAGGAAGCUGAUGUGUUGCGUGAGGUGCGCAGCGGUUCCUGAUGGACGUGGGUGCUUUCAUGCGUAUGUAUAUUGGCUAUGUGCUUCCANNNNNNNNNNNNNNNNNNNNNNNNNNNNNNNNNNNNNNNNNNNNNNNNNNNNNNNNNNNNNNNNNNNNNNNNNNNNNNNNNNNNNNNNNNNNNNNNNNNNUGCCUUAGCAACAUGUGGCAACUAUCUGCCCGAAGCAAGUUGCAAGCCAGCCCAGUUCAGGUUGCCACAUGCCAUGCUGGGUAUUCCCAGCGCGCUAGCGCACCUGCUUGGGCAGCUCGCUAUGGCUGCCGUCGACAGUUGACCCUGGUAUGCCAUCGCUAGAGUCGCAGCCCGCUCCGGCCAACCUCGCUCCUCCGCAACCGACACACGAACCCGACGUCACUUGAUCCCACAAUUCCAGCGACUUUUGCGACCGGCUCUCCACCGACCGCUUGGAUGCUUGCGCCCGGUCGCUGCCCCAGCUACUUCCGCGGUGAAAUAACAACGGUGAGCAC
RNAcentral lists this long non-coding RNA (7024 nucleotides) under Chlamydomonas reinhardtii. RNAcentral describes it as "long non-coding RNA (CREI_LNC001007)". Lineage: Eukaryota; Viridiplantae; Chlorophyta; Chlorophyceae; Chlamydomonadales; Chlamydomonadaceae. The record is from RNAcentral.